CGCUUUCUGCCAGUGGUCUGGGGGAUCCCAGUUCUGGCAAUCCGUCAUCCAGCUCCUCCCAAUCUACAGGAUUGGGACCUCGAUAGAGGUCGGAUCAGGCACCGCCACCCUGUUCUGGUUCGACAAAUGGUCUGGCGACUUGCCCCUUGCGGCCCGCUUUCCCGACCUAUUCUCCAUUGUGGUGGCCCCUUAGAUAUCUGUCACGGCAGCCCUUAUUGA
RNAcentral lists this ribosomal RNA (219 nucleotides) under Triticum aestivum (bread wheat). Its description in RNAcentral is "partial small subunit ribosomal RNA". Lineage: Eukaryota; Viridiplantae; Streptophyta; Magnoliopsida; Poales; Poaceae. The record is from RNAcentral.